RNAcentral lists this ribosomal RNA (2969 nucleotides) under Escherichia coli. Its description in RNAcentral is "partial 23S ribosomal RNA". It matches the Rfam family "Bacterial large subunit ribosomal RNA". Lineage: Bacteria; Pseudomonadati; Pseudomonadota; Gammaproteobacteria; Enterobacterales; Enterobacteriaceae. The record is from RNAcentral.
GGGUUGUGAGGUUAAGCGACUAAGCGUACACGGUGGAUGCCCUGGCAGUCAGAGGCGAUGAAGGACGUGCUAAUCUGCGAUAAGCGUCGGUAAGGUGAUAUGAACCGUUAUAACCGGCGAUUUCCGAAUGGGGAAACCCAGUGUGUUUCGACACACUAUCAUUAACUGAAUCCAUAGGUUAAUGAGGCGAACCGGGGGAACUGAAACAUCUAAGUACCCCGAGGAAAAGAAAUCAACCGAGAUUCCCCCAGUAGCGGCGAGCGAACGGGGAGCAGCCCAGAGCCUGAAUCAGUGUGUGUGUUAGUGGAAGCGUCUGGAAAGGCGCGCGAUACAGGGUGACAGCCCCGUACACAAAAAUGCACAUGCUGUGAGCUCGAUGAGUAGGGCGGGACACGUGGUAUCCUGUCUGAAUAUGGGGGGACCAUCCUCCAAGGCUAAAUACUCCUGACUGACCGAUAGUGAACCAGUACCGUGAGGGAAAGGCGAAAAGAACCCCGGCGAGGGGAGUGAAAAAGAACCUGAAACCGUGUACGUACAAGCAGUGGGAGCACAGAGCAAUCUGUGUGACUGCGUACCUUUUGUAUAAUGGGUCAGCGACUUAUAUUCUGUAGCAAGGUUAACCGAAUAGGGGAGCCGAAGGGAAACCGAGUCUUAACUGGGCGUUAAGUUGCAGGGUAUAGACCCGAAACCCGGUGAUCUAGCCAUGGGCAGGUUGAAGGUUGGGUAACACUAACUGGAGGACCGAACCGACUAAUGUUGAAAAAUUAGCGGAUGACUUGUGGCUGGGGGUGAAAGGCCAAUCAAACCGGGAGAUAGCUGGUUCUCCCCGAAAGCUAUUUAGGUAGCGCCUCGUGAAUUCAUCUCCGGGGGUAGAGCACUGUUUCGGCAAGGGGGUCAUCCCGACUUACCAACCCGAUGCAAACUGCGAAUACCGGAGAAUGUUAUCACGGGAGACACACGGCGGGUGCUAACGUCCGUCGUGAAGAGGGAAACAACCCAGACCGCCAGCUAAGGUCCCAAAGUCAUGGUUAAGUGGGAAACGAUGUGGGAAGGCCCAGACAGCCAGGAUGUUGGCUUAGAAGCAGCCAUCAUUUAAAGAAAGCGUAAUAGCUCACUGGUCGAGUCGGCCUGCGCGGAAGAUGUAACGGGGCUAAACCAUGCACCGAAGCUGCGGCAGCGACNNNNNNNNNNNNNNNNNNNNNNNNNNNNNNNNNNNNNNNNNNNNNNNNNNNNNNNNNNNNNNNNNNNNNNNNNNNNNNNNNNNNNNNNNNNNNNNNNNNNUGCUGGAGGUAUCAGAAGUGCGAAUGCUGACAUAAGUAACGAUAAAGCGGGUGAAAAGCCCGCUCGCCGGAAGACCAAGGGUUCCUGUCCAACGUUAAUCGGGGCAGGGUGAGUCGACCCCUAAGGCGAGGCCGAAAGGCGUAGUCGAUGGGAAACAGGUUAAUAUUCCUGUACUUGGUGUUACUGCGAAGGGGGGACGGAGAAGGCUAUGUUGGCCGGGCGACGGUUGUCCCGGUUUAAGCGUGUAGGCUGGUUUUCCAGGCAAAUCCGGAAAACUAAGGCUGAGGCGUGAUGACGAGGCACUACGGUGCUGAAGCAACAAAUGCCCUGCUUCCAGGAAAAGCCUCUAAGCAUCAGGUAACAUCAAAUCGUACCCCAAACCGACACAGGUGGUCAGGUAGAGAAUACCAAGGCGCUUGAGAGAACUCGGGUGAAGGAACUAGGCAAAAUGGUGCCGUAACUUCGGGAGAAGGCACGCUGAUAUGUAGGUGAAGUCCCUCGCGGAUGGAGCUGAAAUCAGUCGAAGAUACCAGCUGGCUGCAACUGUUUAUUAAAAACACAGCACUGUGCAAACACGAAAGUGGACGUAUACGGUGUGACGCCUGCCCGGUGCCGGAAGGUUAAUUGAUGGGGUUAGCGGUAACGCGAAGCUCUUGAUCGAAGCCCCGGUAAACGGCGGCCGUAACUAUAACGGUCCUAAGGUAGCGAAAUUCCUUGUCGGGUAAGUUCCGACCUGCACGAAUGGCGUAAUGAUGGCCAGGCUGUCUCCACCCGAGACUCAGUGAAAUUGAACUCGCUGUGAAGAUGCAGUGUACCCGCGGCAAGACGGAAAGACCCCGUGAACCUUUACUAUAGCUUGACACUGAACAUUGAGCCUUGAUGUGUAGGAUAGGUGGGAGGCUUAGAAGUGUGGACGCCAGUCUGCAUGGAGCCGACCUUGAAAUACCACCCUUUAAUGUUUGAUGUUCUAACGUGGACCCGUGAUCCGGGUUGCGGACAGUGUCUGGUGGGUAGUUUGACUGGGGCGGUCUCCUCCUAAAGAGUAACGGAGGAGCACGAAGGUUGGCUAAUCCUGGUCGGACAUCAGGAGGUUAGUGCAAUGGCAUAAGCCAGCUUGACUGCGAGCGUGACGGCGCGAGCAGGUGCGAAAGCAGGUCAUAGUGAUCCGGUGGUUCUGAAUGGAAGGGCCAUCGCUCAACGGAUAAAAGGUACUCCGGGGAUAACAGGCUGAUACCGCCCAAGAGUUCAUAUCGACGGCGGUGUUUGGCACCUCGAUGUCGGCUCAUCACAUCCUGGGGCUGAAGUAGGUCCCAAGGGUAUGGCUGUUCGCCAUUUAAAGUGGUACGCGAGCUGGGUUUAGAACGUCGUGAGACAGUUCGGUCCCUAUCUGCCGUGGGCGCUGGAGAACUGAGGGGGGCUGCUCCUAGUACGAGAGGACCGGAGUGGACGCAUCACUGGUGUUCGGGUUGUCAUGCCAAUGGCACUGCCCGGUAGCUAAAUGCGGAAGAGAUAAGUGCUGAAAGCAUCUAAGCACGAAACUUGCCCCGAGAUGAGUUCUCCCUGACUCCUUGAGAGUCCUGAAGGAACGUUGAAGACGACGACGUUGAUAGGCCGGGUGUGUAAGCGCAGCGAUGCGUUGAGCUAACCGGUACUAAUGAACCGUGAGGCUUAACCUUACAACGCCGAAG